UAAGCACGAAACUUGCCCCGAGAUGAGUUCUCCCUGAGACUUUAAGUCUCCUGAAGGAACGUUGAAGACGACGACGUUGAUAGGCCGGGUGUGUAAGCGCAGCGAUGCGUUGAGCUAACCGGUACUAAUGAACCGUGAGGCUUAACCUU
This 149-nucleotide ribosomal RNA is filed under the name Escherichia coli. Its description in RNAcentral is "partial 23S ribosomal RNA". It matches the Rfam family "Bacterial large subunit ribosomal RNA", at positions 2782 to 2925 of the family's 2925-position model. RNAcentral also lists the same sequence under 2 other names. Lineage: Bacteria; Pseudomonadati; Pseudomonadota; Gammaproteobacteria; Enterobacterales; Enterobacteriaceae. The record is from RNAcentral.